UAGUUUGAAAAAUCAGAAAGU
This 21-nucleotide non-coding RNA is filed under the name Caenorhabditis elegans. Lineage: Eukaryota; Metazoa; Nematoda; Chromadorea; Rhabditida; Rhabditidae. The record is from RNAcentral.